Molecule: non-coding RNA, 593 nt
Organism: Phascolarctos cinereus (koala)
Lineage: Eukaryota; Metazoa; Chordata; Mammalia; Diprotodontia; Phascolarctidae
Source: RefSeq, a predicted model, not a curated record
UCCACAUACAGGUGGGUCUAUAGUUUCCAAAGAUAGAAACCUGGAAGAAACUAGGUCAUCAAGUUCAACAAUCUUAUUUUACAACUGAGGGAACUGAGUCCUACAGAAGUCAAGUGAUUUUCUGGCCAGAGGGCAAAACUAGGAGCAACAGACGGAAGCUGUGAAGAGAAACAGAUACAUCUAACAUCCCUGAACUGAAGAAAACAUGAGCCCAUAAACACAUAGUAAGGGCUACCUAGGCCUAUGCUAAAUCGACUAUAAAUCAUUUGAAAUAUAAAGAGAGACAGACAGACAGACAUAGGAAAAGUCAGAAGGACUACAGGACUCCACAUCCUGGCUGCACAACUCCGGGAUUUUUCUGACUGACAUGCUCCAAGAAGCUUAUUAUUGGGAUCACCUCAUCACCCUGUAAGAUGUCAUAAGCCUUCCAACUCUACCUUUUCAUGUCCCCCUGCCUCUGAUUGAGGGUGAAGCUGUGAACUCAGAAGCCCAACUCAGCUUGUUUCUCAUCUGGCUGUACUUGGUGACUUCUCUGACCUCUUCACCAUGCCCCUGAAUGGGGGUACCUUCACCUUUUCUCCCUUCCACUCCCU